Pocillopora verrucosa is the source of this 393-nucleotide non-coding RNA. The record is from RefSeq and is a predicted model, not a curated record. Lineage: Eukaryota; Metazoa; Cnidaria; Anthozoa; Scleractinia; Pocilloporidae.
AGGUGACAUUGGCACCGAAAGAAAAGGGUAAAUCGCCCAAGGAUCUCUGUUUUACGGACGAGGCGACAGAACUGAGCACUGUCUAAGUUCCUCCUGAAUGGCUUUCAAAAUUCCAACUACCAUCGAGGUUCUCUGCCUCAGUAGAGUUGGAUACCCAGAAGGGAUAUCUCAUCAGCAGCCUAAAGUACUCUGAGCAACAGUGGAUUGCAAAAAAAAAAAAAAUUAUUGCAGAGUAUCCUUGUAUGGUUAGCAGGAUACUAGACUAAGUUGACUUGGAAACUGAAUGGAUUGGUAUGGUCUAAAAAUCUAUUGCUUCACCUCUUCUGCUUGCAGUGAAGAGAGGCAAUUUUGUGGUGCUGAAUCUCUUGCCUUAAACUAAAAAGUUGCAAAAUA